Molecule: long non-coding RNA, 6406 nt
Filed under: Sus scrofa (pig)
Lineage: Eukaryota; Metazoa; Chordata; Mammalia; Artiodactyla; Suidae
Description: lncRNA (ENSSSCG00065018250.1)
Source: RNAcentral
UUUUUUUUUUUUUUUUUUUAAUGAGAUCAAUGCAUUUCCAGCAAGCAAUUUCCACCCCUACAUAUUUUCAUAAAGAGAUACUACUCUUUUACAGUGCUAGGUACCUACUCUGAGUUUUUAACCAAUAAAUACUUAGGGAUUUCAGGUGGGUGAAAAUAACCCAAACUUUUUGCCCAAGGCAUGGAAAGUACAGGCUGAAAGAGGGAGAAAGGAACCAAGGGUUGGUAAAUGUGUGUAGAAAAGCACUUUCUUUUCUGGUGAAUAGUUUGCCCAGGAAAAAAAUAUGCAUUUGAAAAUUUCUGCAAGAUCUAUCUCUUAAGAUCAGACAAUUAUUCAUCUCAUUCUUUAAAAACAAAUAAAAAAUAAAACCGUAAUCUCGAUGUUAAAAAUCCUCAUUUCAAAGUCCAUCCUACACACUCAUUGGAUAAACAAGCUCUAGGUUUGCGUGGGUUCCCGGGUAUUUAAAGCUUUUACAUUUAGCAUCACCCCUUUCAGAGGCACUGAGUCUGCCUGCCUUCUCCGCCCACAGACAGUCAGUCACGAUCGGCUCAAUUCCACCCUCGGCCCCCUCACGAUUCUACCACACAGGUCUCACAAGUUGAAAAUUAUUUUCUUAUGUUUGGUCUUCACAGCUACAUAGAACUACUUCAGGGCAUAGAGCAUAUUUUAUUCAUUUUUAUAUUUCCAAUUUCCCUAAAUAAUUUAUUCAUUCAUUAAAAGAAGCCUACUGAGCCUACUACGCGCCAGAGGCUUUAAUCAUUCAGCAGAAUGUACUGAACGGGCACAGUUCUAAUAAGCAACAGGAACGCAUCUGUGAACAAAGGAGAAGGCGAGUCCUGGCCUCAAGGAUCUUACUUCUGCUGGGGAAACAAGAGCCAACAGAUAUAAUACAGUUUCUCCAAAGGCAGUGAGUGCUAAGGAAAAAGGAAAAGCAGAGCAAUACAAGGAGGCUUCAGAGUAUGCUGCUGCAUUAAAAAGGUGGUCAAGAAAGGCCUCACUGAGAAACGACUCUUGAGCAAAGCCUUUGAGGAGGUGAGGGCAUUAGCCAAGAGCAUCAAGGGGAGCCUCUGGAGAAGGGCAUUACAGGCAGAGGGAACCACCAGGGCAAAGGCUGCUGUGGGUCACGGUUCAGAAGCCUUUCAGGAUCAGCAAAAAGGCCACAUGGGCUGGAAUGGGGAGGGGGGAAGAGGGGAGCAGAUGACUAAUAGUAAGGUCAGGGGUUAGAGAGGCCGCAUAAGCCACUGUAGGGGUGUUCUUACAACUGCCUAGCUCCCAAAGUAGACAAGAAGCAUACAUCCCAAAACAUGCACAAUCACAUAUAUAUCCAGCCACUACUAAAACUUUAAAACAGGACUUGCGGUGCUUCCCCUGCAUCCCAAUGGAUCAUUCUGCACAUCAUAUUCCUUGGAGAAGCAGCAGCCCACUCUGAAGACCACUACCCUAUGCUGUCAUAGCUCAGGCAGUAAACAACGUAUUCUCACAAUGACUAGGAGCAGCCAGAGGUCUGCUGAAUUCCUAAGCCCCUCAACACAGCCUGGGAUCCACCCUGAAAGCCUUACAGAAGAUCCCAGGUUGCAGGAGGGUUGAACUGGAAAUGUUUUGGGAUUUUGUUUUGGUUUCUUCCCCUAGUCCAAGAGUUUCUUAAAACAACAAAUUCCACAAUUCAGUUCAGAAAUCAUCAACUCUCUCACUCGGAGUAUUUCAUACUUCCUACACCUUCAGAGACCUGGUACUGCCAAGGAUGGAAAUGGCCAGCAUUUCUAUACAGUUGCCCUUUAUUGGGUAUACAAUAGUUUUUCUUACAAUUGAGCUAUUUAAAACAAAACAAAAUCAAAAACCUCCUAUGAAUGAAUGUAGGGACUACUCUACUAAAUAAGAAAGUUUAGCAAAAGUAAACUUGCUAAAAUUUACUCUCCUUUUCCCCUCCUUAAAAAGGUGGGCCACAGAACUAAACCACCUGGCUUGGCACUCAGCCUCUUCAGAAGCUCUCCCAUGUACACCGCAAGAUGAAAUAAAACCUUGGGGAAAGGGGUCGUCCGAGCUAACUGUUGCUUUGAUUAAGAAGCCACGGCGCUCAGCACAGUCUCAGGACGAGCAGAGUCCUCUUCGCCAUUGUCCAUGUCUUCGAGGUCACUAUUUAAACACUAACUCAACUUACCUCAAUGACUUCUAAAAAGAAUCAAGCCAGAUUAUUAUGCUAUUACACAGAGGAGAAUCAUACUUCACCCCAUCCUCUCAAGGAGAUAAUCAUAAAAUUGCUCAAGUACUGGCAUGUGUUUUACCUCGUGUGGUUCAACCAUCAAAAUUAUGUCAUUAUUCCAGCAGAGCAAAAGUCAAUUGCGUGAACUAGCUAAUCCUCAUACAACCUCUUAUAAUUUUCAUCUCGUCUCUCAAUUCUUUUUUUCCUUUCCUUUUUUUUUUUUUUUUUUUUUUUUUUUUUUUUUUUUUUGGCUCCACCUGCAGCACGUGGAAGUUACCGGGCCAGGGAUCAAACCUGAACCACAGCAGUGACAAUGACAGAUCCCUCUGAGCCACCAGGGAACUCCCUAAAUUUCCCCUUUGACUAAGGGCACCAGUAUGCCUAAAACUAAUGCAACCUUGUAAAUCAACUAUACCUUAAUUAAAAAAAAAAAAAAAAAAAAAAAGGAGCACCAGGCAUGAUGGAUUAGGGUUUGCCCUAAUAUCAUCUAAACGAAUCACACUGCAAUGACUCUAUUUCCAAAUAAGAUCACCCUAUUUCUGAGCUAUAGGGUUAGGGCGUCAACAUGCAAGUUAGGAAAGGACAUAGUCAAGCCUGCAACAUAAAGGCAAGUCUUCCUGUCUUUGCGCACCUGGCCCCACAACCAACUUCCGCUCAACAAUGUAAGCAAUCUUCCCAGAUAUUCAAUUGUGACAAUGUCCUUUUCAUGCUUAAAACUCACAGUAGCUGUUUUUCAUCCAAACUGUGAGUAGUGGGAGUUCCCAUUGUGGCUCAGCGGAAACAAAUCCCACUAGUAUCCAUAAGAAUGCGGGUUUGAUCCCUGGCCUCGCUCAGUGGGUUAAAGAUCCAGUGUUGCUGUGAGCUGUGGUGUAGGUGGCAGACGCGGCUCGGAUCCCAUGUUGCCUUGGCUGUGGCUGAAGUGUAGGCUGGCAGCUGUAGCUCUAAUUUGACCCCUAGCCUGGGAACUUCCACAUGGUGUGGGUGCAGCUCUAAAAAAAUAAAAUAAAAGGCAAACUGUGAGUAGAGACAGUAACAAAUAUGCAAAUAUUUACUGACUGGACCGUAUCAUCCUAAGCACUUUACACACAUGACACUCUCCCUGUAGGAUGGGCACUAUCACUCUCGCCGUUUCAUAAAUGAACAAAUAUCGCCAAAAAGGCUUUAAGUGACAACUGUUCGAUAAGCUAUGCAGUUAGUACUUUUCAGAACCAGGAUUUAAACUUAAGCUCCACACCCCAAAAUAAAAAGUGAUCAGACAGAGAAAUUCAGUUUAUUAAUUAAUAUAGGUUUCCCCUUUCAGGCUUCACCUAUCACAAACAACUCACAGUACACUCUAAUUAGAACUUUCAUGAGAAUGAAAAGGAGGCUUGGAAGGGACUGCUGAUCCACACCUACACAGCGACCAACUCCUGAAUACUCCACAACCAACCAAUCAGCCAACCUUUACCAAACUUAAGGAGGUGGGAGGAAGUAAAGCUGAGGGGGCAGAGAAGGCUAAAACUGCAGAAAGAGAACCCAGGAGCAAGAGCAUCAAAAUGCUCACCCAGAAUCUACCCUCAGGAUAGACAUAUGGAUGAAGAAACAAAGAGUCUUUCAGUGUCUGAAAGGGCUAUUGCUAAAAAGAGAUUAGUAAUUAGAUUGAAUGGCUAUGGUCCAGUACAAAAAAAUGGUGUUUUUUCCCUCUAAAUGGAACAUAGGGGCAACUCCAGAAGUUAUUCGAGGGGGCUUUAAAAAGAAAGAACGUAAACUUUGAAACAAAGAAUAUUUUUCAAUGCUAACCAUUUUCUCCCUUGAAUCUGGUUUAAAAUACUAUCUGACAAGGUCUUUAAAGGGUUCACUGUUGAUUAAACCAUUUUCAUGGCCUAAUGAGUUUGAGCCCUAUUAAUUCAGACUGUGCUGUGGACAUUGAUUUUUGUCAUAGCAAGGAUCAAGAGAAGUAAGAGUUCUUCAAAUUAACCAACUGCUCACAACAGUAAGUAGAGAAAAUGUCUGCUGUGAAAUAUAUAGUGUCUAAGCACUAUUCAGUGCCAACAAAAGCUAAUAAACAGGCUAUAUUUUUAAGUUUAAGCUGGAGAAGAAAAGUCAUCCCUACCUGUAGAGAGGACCAUUUGGCUCUUAUUUCAGAUUUUUUAGGAAACUGCAAUGCCAAGAAAGGGUAAACAUUAGAGACAAUCUACUUUCCAGCUCUGAAUGACCACCCUAAGAUGCACCAAUCAUCCGACAGGGACACAAUGCACCAAAACAGAAAUGACAAAAGCUGAAGAACUUGAAAGCAGUUCUUUCCCUUAAAUGAAGCUUUUACAUCAAACAAAUCUAGGGAGCUCCCGUCGUGGCUCGUGGCUCGUGGCUCAGCAGUUAAUGAACCAACUAAGAUCCAUGAGGAUCCGAGAGUUCAGUCCCUGGCCUCACUCAGUGAGUUAAGGAUCUGACGUUGCUGUGAGCUAUGGUGUAGGUUGCAGAUGAGGCUCGGAUCCCGAGUUGCUGUGGCUGUGGUGUAGGCUGGCAGCUGCAGCUCCGAUUUGACCCCCAGCCUGGGAAUUUCUGUAUGCCGCAAGUGGGGCCCUAAAAAGACAAAAAAAAAAAGAAAAACAAAACAAAACCACACAACCUAAUCUAAACAAUUCCUGUGUAUUCUAGUCUUUUGACAAUGUGUCAAUCAAAGCUUUUAUUCCAUAGCCCUUAGCAAUUUUCCACAUUUAAUAUGACAAAGAAAACCAGUGCUAAUCUUCUACACGACUAAACCCAAACUUUGAAAUUACCAGUAAAAGUGACAUCAUUUAUAUCAUCUCUCUUAUUGAGAAGUAGAUUCUGUUUUUGAUAGUAAAAAGCAGCCCUGAAAGUCUGCAUGAAUUGAAGCUGUCAAUAAGUAGCCAGCUCCCUGUGCCCCUUCCCUGGUGUCUGGCUCAGGGAGGGUCAGCAAAAUAGGGGCCAAGGGUCAAAGGGUCCACUGCCUGCUUUAGCAUGGUCCGCAGUGAAAGAAUGGGUUCUCUCUUUAUGAAUGGUUUUGGGGGGGAGGGAGUGGGACGAAUCAAAAGAAGAAUAAUAUGAAGUUCCUACUGGGCCCUAUGGCCUUUCUGGAGCACUGGGACACAGGGGAGCACUGGGACACAGGUUUGAUCCCUGGCCUGACACAGCGGGUUAAGGAUCUGGAGUUGCCUCAGCUGCAGCUUGGAUCUAAUCCUUAGACCAGGAACCCCCAUAUGCCUCAGGGCAUUUAAAAAAGAAAACCAUGAAAGUAGAUUUAAAAAGAAGAAGAGGAGUUCCCGUCGUGGCACAGUGGUUAACAAAUCCGAUUAGGAACCAUGAGGUUGUGGGUUUGGUCCCUGCCCUUGCUCAGUGGGUUAAGGAUCCGGUGUUACCGUGAGCUGUGGUGUAGCCCUAGUAUUUGAUCUUUUAUAAUUUUCUACAGCAGUGAAUUAGUAAGAAUUAGCCUGGCAAUGCCUAAGAUUUCUAGUCAGGGAAGGUACAACGGAAUCUUUCACCAGAAUAAUUCCAAUUAACAAAUUAAAUUUUCUUGUCUUUUUUUUGCAUUUCCACACUAACCAACUACAACCCCUUUCACAACCACUAAAUAGUCCAAUUAAAAUCUAAAACACUACAUCAUUUUGUGCCUUCAAGACAUCUACUCAGAAUUUCUGCUGUGGCACAGAGGGUUUAGCUGCAGCUGUGCCACAGGUCGAAGCUUUAGCUGGGAUUUGAUCCCUAGCCUAGAAACUUCCAUAUGCCAUGGGUGUGGCCAAAAGGGGGGGCAGGGAAUGACACAAGGGCUAAAAAAAGUACUUUCUUCUCAGGCAUCAUAGUAAGAAAAACACCCAUUCUUUGAGGUUGCAGUGGUCAUCUACAAAUAGUCAUGGUGCCAUAGCAGGCGCCACCUCUGGUUUGUGUAAUGCUACUACAGUCUUGUUCCCUUUUUUGCCAUGAAACUUUUUUUUGGGGGGGGUCUUUUUAGGGCCGCCUUCAUGGCAUGUGGGAGUUCCCAGGCCAGCAGGUGAAUCAGAGCUGUAUCUGCUGGCCUACAUCACAGCCACAGCUGUGCCAGAUCUGAUCGAUGUCUGUGACCUACACCACAGCUCUCAGCAAUGCUGGAUCCUUAACACACUGAGCAAGGCCAGGAAUUGAACCUGCAUCCUCAUGGAUACUAAUUGAACCAGGAUGGGAACUCCUAAACUUUUUAAUUUUAGACACCAAAUACAAUGCUCUUGCCAC